UACGUAGGGACCGAGCGUUGUCCGGAAUCAUUGGGCGUAAAGAGCGUGUAGGCGGCUAUUUAAGUCCUGCGUGAAAUCCUGCGGCUCAACCGCAGACGGUCGUGGGAAACUGGAUGGCUAGAGUGCGGGAGAGGAGAGUGGAAUUCCCGGUGUAGCGGUGAAAUGCGUAGAUAUUGGGAGGAACACCAGUGGCGAAGGCGGCUCACUGGACCGGUUCUGACGCUGAGGCGCGAAAGCGUGGGGAGCAAACGGG
This 253-nucleotide ribosomal RNA is filed under the name uncultured bacterium. Its description in RNAcentral is "partial 16S ribosomal RNA". It matches the Rfam family "Bacterial small subunit ribosomal RNA", at positions 524 to 776 of the family's 1533-position model. The record is from RNAcentral.